Molecule: ribosomal RNA, 439 nt
Filed under: uncultured bacterium
Lineage: Bacteria
Description: partial 16S ribosomal RNA
Rfam family: Bacterial small subunit ribosomal RNA
Source: RNAcentral
CUACGGGAUGCUCCAGUGAGGAAUAUUGCACAAUGGGGGGAACCCUGAUGCAGCAACGCCGCGUGGAGGAUGACGCAUUUCGGUGUGUAAACUCCUUUUAUAUGUCAAGAAAAUGACGGUAGCAUAUGAAUAAGCACCGGCUAACUCCGUGCCAGCAGCCGCGGUAAUACGGAGGGUGCAAGCGUUACUCGGAAUCACUGGGCGUAAAGGACGCGUAGGCGGGUUGGGAAGUCAGGUGUGAAAUCCUACAGCUUAACUGUAGAACUGCACUUGAAACUUCUAAUCUAGAGUAUGGGAGGGGGAGAUGGAAUUAGUGGUGUAGGGGUAAAAUCCGUAGAUAUCACUAGGAAUACCUAAAGCGAAGGCGAUCUCCUGGAACAUUACUGACGCUAAGGCGUGAAAGCGUGGGGAGCAGACAGGAUUAGAUACCCCCGUAGUC